UACGUAGGUGGCAAGCGUUGUUCGGAAUUAUUGGGCGUAAAGGGCGCGUAGGCGGUUGGUUAAGUCAGCUGUGAAAGCCCGGGGCUCAACCCCGGAGGGUCGGCUGAUACUGAUUGACUAGAGUACGGAAGAGGUAGCUGGAAUUCCCGGUGUAGCGGUGAAAUGCGUAGAUAUCGGGAGGAACGCCUGAGGCGAAGGCGGGCUACUGGGCCGAUACUGACGCUGAUGCGCGAAAGCCAGGGGAGCGAACGGG
This 253-nucleotide ribosomal RNA is filed under the name uncultured prokaryote. RNAcentral describes it as "partial 16S ribosomal RNA". It matches the Rfam family "Bacterial small subunit ribosomal RNA", at positions 524 to 776 of the family's 1533-position model. The record is from RNAcentral.